GCCUGGGUGGCUUAGUCAGUUGAGCAUCUGAUUUCCGCGCAGGUCGUGAUCCUCGUGGUUUGUGGGUUCGAGCCCCACAUCGGGCU
Molecule: transfer RNA, 86 nt
Filed under: Felis catus (domestic cat)
Lineage: Eukaryota; Metazoa; Chordata; Mammalia; Carnivora; Felidae
Rfam family: tRNA
About the family: Transfer RNA (tRNA) molecules are approximately 80 nucleotides in length.
Source: Rfam by way of RNAcentral